ACGGGGGGUGCAAGCGUUGUCCGGAAUGAUUGGGCGUAAAGCAUCUGUAGGUGGUUUUUAAAGUCGACUGUUAAAGCCCAGGGCUCAACUUUGGAUAAGCGGUCGAGUACUUAAGGACUUGAGUAUGGUAGGGGUAGAGGGAAUUCCUAGUGGAGCGGUGAAAUGCACAGAGAUUAGGAAGAACACCGAGGGCGAAAGCACUCUACUGGGCCAUGACUGACACUGAGAGAUGAAAGUUGGGGGAGCGAAAAGGA
Molecule: ribosomal RNA, 254 nt
Filed under: uncultured prokaryote
Description: partial 16S ribosomal RNA
Rfam family: Bacterial small subunit ribosomal RNA
Source: RNAcentral